UACUUUUUAGCUUCCGCUAAGUACUUGGCAGCGCGCCAGGCCCGGAGGAUUCUGGGAAGCGAAAGCCUCCCCAGUAUAAACUGCCAGCUUUAAGCAGCCCUGACAGUUCUGCUCCUUCCAAACUUGGCAGCCGUUCAAAGUGCUCUUUCAUUUGAAAUGCUGGAAGCCUGCCAUGUGCAAUGCAGAUUUGCUGUGCCUGUGCGCAGAAGGAACUGAUAAAUGCCGUUGCAGUUGCCAUGGGGACAGGAGGCUAUCAGAAUGGCCUUGUGAUCCGCAGCCUCUCAGCGCGGCAGGCUCUCGCUCUGCCUCCUGCCCCUCCUCCCUCUAGUCAGUGAGAUGGUGAAAUAAAUGUUCUGGAAAAAGGUUAACCCUGCCUGCUCUGGUUCCAAAGCCGAGAGAAGGUUCACCUCGAAGAACUUACCGGGCCCUAAGUGGCAGCCGGACCACCGGCCUCAGCGCCGUCCUAGGCGGGUCACCACGCUCCCGCCGCCCCCUCCCCCUGCUCCAAGGAUCCCACACACCCUGGCCGGGCUUCCUGCUCCCUGGGGGCUUUCACAAAGCUGUGUUUUUAAUAGAGCUUUUCAGCAAGCCCUAGUGUAAGUCUUUGAGUCAUCAAAACCCGGAUGUAAACACAGCAGCCUUACAUUCUGCACGGUUUGCGUGUAUUUUAUCUUUUUAAUAAUAUUUUGCUGGCAACUUAAAACUGCAAGGAUGCCAGAUAGUUAGCCAGCAGCUUACAUCAUGCAGCAUCCAUCUUAGGGAGAGUGGCUGCCUGCCCUGUCCUGCUCGCUCGCUCUCUCUCUCUCUCUCCCCCCCUACCUUGAGACGGCAGGAAAUGUGGGUCUCUCUGAAGCCAUUUUAUUGCAGGAGAGGCACAACCGAGUCCCCAAGAACCCUGGGUUUAAGAACGAGCAUGACAUCACCUUGGGCAACAAUAACCGUCUCUGUGUUCCUGUCAGGGACGAGACACUGAGGUGAAACCGAUCUGUCAUUGACACUGUGAGUGAGGGCGCACCGGUCCGGAUGCCCCCCUCCCCAUUUUGCACAAGCUGCUCUUUGAAACACGGCCGAUUCAAUGUACAGAAACAAAAUAGCACAUUCAGAUUUGGUACAUGUUCAGGUCUCUAAUGCCAACUCUCCGGGUGGCCUGUUUAAUGGGGGAAAAAAUGAAAUACUCCAUUCCAGCCAAGGCCCAGGAAGGCCAAAGAGGUUUAGGGAUUUAUUUACAUUGAACAGUAUUCCUCCUCAACCCAACUUGCUCCUUCCUGAGGGUUUCCUGAACCUAAAACUUUCGUUAACAUCCCAGGAAGAGAACAUAUUUUUCCUGUGGGUUUCAAUAUUUUCUGCUAAAUAUAUUUCAAACCACUGUUUAUCUAGGGUUUCAGCUUUCAGACUUUAUGUACUUUUGACACCUUGAGGUUGUUCCACUGAAAAAUGGUGUCUGUUUAUUAAAGAGGACUUUAUGUGCUGGGCGUUAGGGCGGGGGGGGGUGUGAGGGGGGAUUUUCUGUUUGGGUCCGUCUGUAUAAGGAGGGCUUCAGGAUGAGAUCCAAGUCAGAGGCCUGUUUGGUUUAUGAAGCCCUUUGGACAAAGCGGGCCCUACAUAGCUCACACAAACCUUUGAAUACCGCAGAAUGUUGAGCCAAAGGAACCAUUUCUUCAUAAGCGCUCAGCUGACACGGAGGCCGGGACAGGGGAAAAGACGAAAAAUCCAAGUUCCUGGAGCUUAGCCGCGGUUUCUUUUAACCCACCUCUCUCUGGGUGUCUGCUGGUGAUUGUCACAGCAAUUUGGGCCAGGGCAACGCACUCUGUCUCGCUGGAAUCUCCUGACUUAAAAGUAGCCCCUUCCAAAUAAAUAAAUUAAUCAAUAAAAGCCAUCUGUUUCACCUUGACAGCGGGCUCAGAGCUUGAAGGGGUAGUGUUAAACACGAUUUUUAGGAGCAGUUGGCCCUCGAGACAUUUUGAGGUGGGCUUUGGGUUGGAAUUAAACAGGAGGUGGAGGCUCGGAUGAGGUGAUUCAGAAAGCCCCUCUUUCUCUCCCUCUCCACCCCCCCCAUCCAGCCACCACCUUCCCCAGACAAUCCAGGCAGCUGGGUUUUUGGCUCUGGCAGCUGCUAAGCUUUGGCAAGCCAAAAGCACAUUUCGUGGCGGUGAUUCCUUUCCCAAGUUGACGGACAUGUUUCUGCACUGAGCGCAAGGGAUGUUUCCUGACUGUGUGCGUGAAUCAGAGGCUGCAUUUUUCAUCCAGGGCUUCUGGUGACAGUUUUAAGCUGGAAGAACAAAGCAGAUUACGAUGAGCCUCUAUCAUCAGGGUCCAGAAAUAAAGAAUCCACCCAAAGAGCUAGUCACAUAUAGCUUGGGUGUUAUGAUUUUUUAGGCUUCAAGCGUGCCCAGAGCAGCCCAUUCCCCCAGAAGGCUAGGCCUCCUUCCACGAUUUCAGACACUGCCCUUCCUCUUUCUCUCCAUGUCCUUGUGGUGCUUGCUGAUUUGUUGGCUUCAAAAGUUCUUCCGUUUUUUCAGCCUUCCUCUCUUCCAAAUGGGAAGAUUUGCAAAAGCCAUCUUGUGGCCCUAGAGUGCCUUCCCGGAUGGAGGCCAGCUCGGAGAUCCCAAACAGCCUGGCCACCGCCCGUGCCCUGCUCUGUGACAGCAGGGUGGCGACAGGGGGACUCAGUGGUGCAGCCCCUCUGUACCAGGUCCCAAGGAGCCAGCUUCUCAGAAAUCCAUGGAUUAGGAAGUUCUCUCGGGGCUGCUUCAGGAGCUGCUGGGGAACAACUCCCUUUUGUUUUGCUGUCUAGCAUGUGACCAGAAUGCUGCCAGCUAAUUUUAACCCCACCAAAGUACUGCUGGAAAAAACCCCAAAAAACAAGCAAACAAAAAAACCUAUCUUACAUCUGGAGAGAGGAACGCGGUGGGCUGGAGAAAAGCUUUUUCAGCCUGUGUUCCUUCCUGUUUCAGUUUCCAGACUUGCAUUAUCGGUAACCUGAAAAAUGAUGAGUUUCACCAAAUUCCUGGAUAUUGCACAAGAGGACAAUGAGUCUAUUUCGGGUGCUGUGAUUGUGUCUGGCACAGACCCUGGAAGCCAUUGUUUUCGGGAGGGAGACCGCUUUGGGGUUUCCUGGUGCUUUCCUUCUAGGGUCUCAAAGCCCCACAUGGUACGGGGGUGGGGCGCUCUCCAUGGCAACCAUGCCGGCUGCUCUCUAAAAGGACUUGGAGUAGAAGUGGGUGGUUAGGUCAAUCGGGUGGGGGCGGUGGCCGUGGUGGGCCUGGAGGUGUUAAAAAGGUGGAUCCCAGGGAGUGUUUGAAGUGGGACCGCAGGAGCAGGAAGAAGGGAGAGGGCUCUUUCACAAUAGCUGGAUGGCCCCCUGGGACCGGGGCCACCAGCUCUCCAGCUCAAUUUCCAUAUCCGCUUUCAGCACCAGGAAUUAAUGGAGGACUUCAUGGGGUUCCUCACCCUGGAUGCUGGAUUCUCAAAGCAUUCCCACGGCGCUUAAUUGUUGCUGUCCGGCUGGGUGGCAGCUGGUGACGCUAGUGAAAAGGUACAGAAUCUCAGGAGCCGGGAAAUGAAGCAGUUUGGGCAGGACAGCGGGUAGCCAGGUAGGUAGCUGCUGCCAGCCGUUCCAAAACCAGGUACUGAGAUGGUGUCAUUAACCCCAGGGUCUACAGUGCAGCCCCCGUAGGUCACAUGAUGGCAACGAGAGCCGGAGCCAGGGGAGAGGCCCCGGAGGCUGGUGCACACUCCCGGCCGCCGGGAGCAUGUGGUGGCAGUUGUUCUGACAGCUGCUGAGGGCUUCAACUGCCUGCAAAGCCAUUUGCUCAGGCCUGCCCUGUCUGGCCAACUUCUAUGGAUUUAAAGGAUCCUCGUUGGUCUCUGAGCGCCCCCCCAUCGCCAUCUGAAUGGUCAGGGGCAGACACCCUCUCUGGGAAGGCAGGGAGCCUCCCGGAGACGUUCAGUCCCUCCUCUGCCUCCCCAUGGCUGCCGUAACCUGCCCACAGUCGUCAAGAUCGGCUGGCAAAUUCCUAAAUUAAGGUUCUGUUUACUCUGCUGUUCCAAAGGCUUGUUUUGAGCAAGAUGUUGUGCUUUAAUUAAAAAGACGGGAGCUCAUGAGUAAGUGAAAAUAUUUUUGAAUCUUCACAGAAAUGUCCGAAUUUGGUGUCUUGUGUUUCACGGUGAGGGGGGUCAGGCUGGUCAGCACUUUUAUCUGGGGGACCACUGAAAACUCUUGCUGCAAGCUGACAGCCGGCUCUUCUGCACCGUGGACUUAGGAAGGGGACCCCAAGUCAAAAACAUGCGUUCCUGCUGCUUCUGUCUGCAGGGUUAACCGGCACACAGGUGUCAUUAGGACACAUUCCCCAUUUACCUUUCCAGCCAGAGGCUUCCGAAAUGUUUCAUAAUAGCUCCGCAGCUGGAAUGCAGCUGCUGCUGGGUGGAGCAAACAUGACUCCUUCUGGGUCAGCAGGGUGAGGGAGGGCAGGGAAACUUGCAAGGUUGGGAAAGUCCUUCUUUCUGAAGCCAGAGCUCAGGAAUGAGUGGGGCCUCUGGUGUGAAAACUUUCCAGAUGGGGGAAGGAAGGUUUUUGUCCUACAGAAGUUGCAAAUGGAUGCUCCAGCUCCCAGGUUGGAGGAAGGCCGUUGGGGAAUGUGUGGUGUUCAUUAAGGCGGCAUCAUCGCCUGCCGGGAUUAUGGCAAUGGCCUCCUAACUCUUCUCCCACCUCCACGUUGGGUCCGCAACAUCGAUCACGCGGGAACAGAGGGACCUCUAUAACAUCCUGUUGCACACUCUGCACGAUACCCUCCCUCCAUCCCAGGGUGGUCAGCAGGUCAUGGCAAGCGGGAGACGUGAUGCUAAUGACUCCGGCUCCACGUGGCGACCAUUCAGGAAAAAGCUGCAAUGUUCUCUCUGCCACAUUAAUCAGAGAAACACAUGAAGAGCUGUUGCAUGGAGACAGCUUUCCUCCCAGUACCUGCCCUGCAUGCUAAUCAGCACCCCUCCCGGCGGGUCUCUUGCAGGGAGAAAGCAAGCAAAAGAAAACGCAGUUGGCUAGAGACGUUCACGUUGGCUUUGCCCACAGCUGCUACCGAGCGUCCUUGUGGGCCCUGGUGGUGGUUGAUCUCAGCCGUGCGCCAGGCCCUUCGCGUCUCUCCGAGGAUGGACUGGCCACUGGCCACUGCCUCCCCCACCCCCCGCUGCCCCCCCUCUCUGUGGGGGCUUUUCCACAGAUGCCUGGGAAUUCCCUGCCUAUAGAGAAGACACCCCUUGCCUUCCCUCCCCGUGUGGCGUCCUGCAAACCUGACAGAGCUAUGGGAGGCCACAGGCUUUGGAGAAAGAGGGAGCGAAAAGAGCAUUUUUUAAAAACACGUCUCUUUUAUUUCCCUCUUGGCCUCCAUCAGCUCCCCACCUGGCAUAUGAACUUGUUCUUCCCUUAUACGGCUCUGAGAAAAGCACCAUAUGGCCGUUCAUCAGGCCCACGGGCUGGUUUCCAUCCAGCCUACUCUGAUUUCCUCCCAGGCUGGGGUCUGCAGAAUGACCCGCCCUUCAGGAGGCCCGUGGAGGAAGAGAGACAGGAACAGCGAAGACAUACAGAGCUCGAACCGCCGGCCGGGAGUUGCUCUGGGUCCUUACGUGUGGCGAUGCCAUCAUCAUCCCUACUUCACAGAUGAAGACACUGACACGGGGAGAUGUUCAGAGACAUCCUCUAAGUCACAUGGCUGGUGAUGGCAGAGCCGGGAUCCGAGCCGUACUAACCAUCGGAUUUUGCUGAUUUGCUAUCAUGGAAAACCCAAUCUUGGCUAAAGGGUGUUGGCAAGGUUAGAAGAAGGGGUCCUGCCCAUGUGGCCAGGAGAGGGGAUGCCAGAGGAAAGAGGAUAAAUCCAUGAGGCGGGGCAAAGCCUAGCCGGCCCUCCCUCCAGGAGAGCAGGGUCCAAGCUCAGUGAGUGAAGCCAGCACAAGCCAGGAGAAAGCCGGGAGGCUCUGGGAGGCAGCCCCCUUGCAGAGCUGGCCAGGGAGCUGCAGGGAGCCCUCAGAAGGCCCUGGAGACUGGUUUCCCCCUUGCGCUCCUCGCCUACGUCCUUCCCACCGGCUCACCCCAUCACUGCUUUCUCUGCUCUCCAGGAGUGAGUGACAAGCACACCUCCUUGAAGCCUGCCGAGCUGCGAGGCUGCCCUGGGGUGUGGUGGGAGCAGAGGGGCACAGAUCUCAGCUCCAUGUUUGCUCUGUUGCUGUGCGGCCAAAGAGCGCCCACCCGCAUGCCCGUGAGCCUCACCGACAGGGUGGCGUGGUGCAGAGGUGUGAAUGAGCUAAGUGUCAAGGACGUAGGUAGGCUCCUGGCACAGAAGAGCUGCGUGAUCCAUGCAUCCUGCCCUCAUUCCCUGUCCCUCCUUCAGGAACAGGAAGGAGGAAGCUGAGGCUCCCGGGCGACUGGGGCUGGGCCGAUGAUAGGCCUAGCAGACAUGCAGGGCCUGGCUUGGCAGCCCCCCCACUCCGCCCCCCAGAGGAAGGAGCUAUAUUUGACAUGACUCCACCCUUUGUACCCCCUCAGCCUUGUUGGGCUCCUCCCCACGUGUCUCCCCUGCUGCACGGCCCGCAGAGGAGGGCUUCACGCCUCCACGGGCUGUCUCCACAGUGUCUCCUACAAACAUGAGCCCACAGGGCAAGACCCGGUUCCCAAGUCCAGGACAGAUGUCGGGCUCCUGUUGGCCCUCUCCCGUGUCCCAGGGGCCUUUGGAUGGAGUCCAGGCAACACCCAGCUCUCCUACCCAGGACUUCCCCCUAGAGAGGAAACACUAAGGGACAUUGGAGGGACUCACUGUCCCCAGAAUUAUGGCUAAGGAACAGGAAUUUGGUGACGGCUGUGGUGUAUGAGUGAGUCAGACAAGAAGCACACAGGAAAGGAGGGCACUUUUCUUUACACUAUUUUUUUUUCUCUCCGUUAAAGAAAAAUGUGAACGCAGAGGUAAAGAGAAAGAAGUGAAAGUUCCUUUGAUUCCCAUCUCUCAUCAAUUAUCACCGUUUUCCCCAGCAGUAACUGCACUAGCAGCACGUGGUGUGUCAUCACAGGCUUUGCCAAGCAUUUACACACACACACGCGUGCACACACACACACUCACGUGUACAUCCAUGUGUACAGGGGUAUGGUGCCAGGGUCUUUGUUUUUCUUUGCUUUUGCACAAAUACUACCCUGUUGACCACAUUGCUCUGCAGUUGUCUCCCCGUAACAGUAUAUGCUGGACAUUUUCUCACGUCAACAUAUACGGAGCAUCCUUGUUGGUUGUUUUUUUUUUUUUAAACUUCUGCACAACAUUGCACAUGGAUGCAACACCGUGGAUCCAAUCAUGCCCUUUCCACUCAUACCCUCACUCGGGGUCCCCGUUGCUCACCCACCUCUGGGGAGCAUGAAUCA
Long non-coding RNA from Ailuropoda melanoleuca (giant panda), 7396 nucleotides. RefSeq lists it as uncharacterized. The transcript is spliced from 4 exons. The record is from RefSeq and is a predicted model, not a curated record. NCBI's taxonomy places the organism in Eukaryota, Metazoa, Chordata, Mammalia, Carnivora, Ursidae.